GACAGUAGAUUUCCGAGAGGAAAGGAGAAGAGAAGAUAGGGAUGGAAGCAGAGAAAGAAAGGUUUAGGGAGAGAACUGCGAAGGGAUGGCAGGGGGUGGUCACAAAAAGAGAAAGGGAGAAGAGAUCAGGCUAAUCUUACCCAAUCGAUCCAGCGAUCAGGUGAUCGUUUAUGCGGUAUCAGGACACGAAAAUGGCUCGACAAUGCAAUCCACAACAAAGCUAUUUCUUUCUCUAGUUUAGCUUGGUAACUGCUGGAAUCAAAUGCAAGGCAGACAUGGCACAGACGGCCACUCGUGCACCCCUCCUACCCCACCCCCAGUGGACCAGGGACAGUUCUCGGACUGCCCUAACAUCUAGCUUCUUGUAGCAUGGUCUUUAGCGCAGGGGCUCAGUACUGAAAGCAAUUGCCUUAAACACAGGCUGCAUGAUUUAACGAGGAAGUGGGACCUAGGAAGGCUGCUGCCGCCUAGGUAACCCAUCAUCAGCCUCUUGGUCAUCUUGCUAACCCUCCAAAGCAUAGCGCCCUCGAAAACUCUGAGUGACUACGACCUUCAACCAUUCACCUCCCAGCCCCUGUCUAUGCAAAAAAAAUCGCUGAGGAUUAGAUCAAUGCAAUGGGACCGGUCCUGCUGGUUUAUUUGGGCUGUGUGUUAAGUCGAUUUUCUUACUAUGCCUGGAUCAGUUUCUGCAAGGGAAAGGAUUCCAAGGAAGUGCUAGUGAAAUGCACUGAUGGAAUACUAUUAAUCCUAAUGAUAACAUUCCCAGUGCAGGUAAACUCUGAAAAGAACUGUGAGUGGGAAGAUCCUGCAGGAUUUCCGAAGCGCUGCUCUCCUGAAUUCUCAUUGGAUCAUCCCCAGCAGCCUAAAUCAGUGCUGCUGCUCUCUGAAGAUGACUACAGCCUAGCUCACUAGUUGUCUACUCCUGUUUACAACACAUCCUUUCACUUCUCUUUGGAGAUCUGUUUGUCUUAUUCAUCCUGUUCUCUUGGGUUACCCAGCUUCCUCACUUUGUGGGUACUUCCAGUUUGGUACAUUUGUUUGCCUGAGGAUUAUCAUAAGAAAGGUUCCCACUGUUAACCAUUCUC
Molecule: long non-coding RNA, 1085 nt
Filed under: Mus musculus (house mouse)
Lineage: Eukaryota; Metazoa; Chordata; Mammalia; Rodentia; Muridae
Description: long non-coding RNA chr1:146494759-146495844
Source: RNAcentral